RNAcentral lists this ribosomal RNA (792 nucleotides) under uncultured bacterium. RNAcentral describes it as "bacterial SSU rRNA". It matches the Rfam family "Bacterial small subunit ribosomal RNA", at positions 8 to 796 of the family's 1533-position model. The record is from RNAcentral.
AGAGUUUGAUCAUGGCUCAGAACGAACGCUGGCGGCGUGCUUAACACAUGCAAGUCGCGUGCGCAGUUGCCGUAGCAAUACGGUGAUGGGCGCACGGCGCACGGGUGCGUAACACGUGGGCAAUCUGCCCUUUGAUGGGGAAUAACCCGCCGAAAGGCGGGCUAAUUCCGCAUAAGAUUCCCGGAACUUCGGUUCUGGGAUUGAAAGCAGCAAUGCGUCGAAGGAGGAGCCCGCGCCCGAUUAGCUAGUUGGUGAGGUAACGGCUCACCAAGGCUAUGAUCGGUAGCUGGUCUGAGAGGAUGAUCAGCCACACUGGAACUGAGACACGGUCCAGACUCCUACGGGAGGCAGCAGUGGGGAAUCUUGCACAAUGGGCGAAAGCCUGAUGCAGCGACGCCGCGUGGGGGAUGAAGCAUUUCGGUGUGUAAACCCCUUUCGACUGGGAAGAAUACCUCGCAAGAGGGGUGACGGUACCAGUAGAAGAAGCCCCGGCUAACUACGUGCCAGCAGCCGCGGUAAGACGUAGGGGGCCAGCGUUGUUCGGAAUUACUGGGUGUAAAGGGUUCGUAGGCGGUGCGGCAAGUUGGGAGUGAAAUCUCUGGGCUUAACCCAGAGGCUGCUUCCAAAACUGCUGUGCUCGAGUGUGAGAGAGGCGCGUGGAAUUGCAGGUGUAGCGGUGAAAUGCGUAGAUAUCUGCAGGAACACCCGUGGCGAAAGCGGCGCGCUGGAUCACUACUGACGCUGAGGAACGAAAGCUAGGGGAGCAAACAGGAUUAGAUACCCCCGUAGUCC